This 99-nucleotide small nuclear RNA is filed under the name Erinaceus europaeus (western European hedgehog). Lineage: Eukaryota; Metazoa; Chordata; Mammalia; Eulipotyphla; Erinaceidae. The record is from RNAcentral.
UUGCUUCAGCAGCAUAUAUGCUAACAUAGGAACAAAACAGAGACGAUCAGCAUAGCCCUGCACAAUGACCUGCAAAUUUGUGGGGGAAAAAAAGGGGGG